GAUGAAGAACGCAGUGAAAUGCGAUAAGUAAUGUGAAUUGCAGAAUUCAGUGAAUCAUCGAAUCUUUGAACGCACAUUGCGCCCGCCAGUAUUCUGGCGGGCAUGCCUGUUCGAGCGUCAUUUCAACCAUCAAGCCCCAGGCUUGUGUUGGGGACCUGCGGCUGCCGCAGGCCCUGAAAACCAGUGGCGGGCUCGCUGUCACACCGGGCGUAGUAGAUUUUAUCUCGCUCAGGGCGUGCUGCGGGUUCCGGCCGUUAAAAAGCCUUUUUUACCCAAGGUUGACCUCGGAUCAGGUAGGAAGACCCGCUGAACUUAAGCAUAUCAAUAACGGAGGA
RNAcentral lists this unclassified non-coding RNA (335 nucleotides) under soil metagenome. Its description in RNAcentral is "partial contains 5.8S ribosomal RNA, internal transcribed spacer 2, and large subunit ribosomal RNA". The stretch from base 1 to 120 matches the Rfam family "5.8S ribosomal RNA", at positions 35 to 154 of the family's 154-position model. The record is from RNAcentral.